AGCCCCGUGGUGGAGACCACGUCAGGUUGCAAACCUGAAGGCGCAGCCUAACAGCUGCCGGGGCUU
This 66-nucleotide transfer RNA is filed under the name Bathylaco nigricans (black warrior). RNAcentral describes it as "tRNA-Cys". Lineage: Eukaryota; Metazoa; Chordata; Actinopteri; Alepocephaliformes; Alepocephalidae. The record is from RNAcentral.